UGCGAGUCAUUGUAGCAAUACAAGGCAGACGGCUCAGUAACGCGUAGUCAAUCUACCCUAUGGACGGGAAUAACCUCGGGAAACUGAGAAUAAUGCCCGACAGAACAUUAUACCUGGAACGGUUUAUGUUUCAAAUGAUUUAUCGCCGUAGGAUGGGACUGCGGCCUAUCAGUUUGUUGGUGAGGUAAUGGCCCACCAAGACUAUUACAGGUACGGGCUCUGAGGGGAGUAGCCCGGAGAUGGGUACUGAGACACGGACCCAGGCCCUAUGGGGCGCAGCAGGCGAGAAAACUUUGCAAUGUGCGAAAGCACGACAAGGUUAAUCCGAGUGGUUUCUGCUAAAGAAACCUUUUGCUAGUCCUAGAAACACUAGUGAAUAAGGGGUGGGCAAGUUCUGGUGUCAGCCGCCGCGGUAAAACCAGCACCUCAAGUGGUCAGGAUGAUUAUUGGGCCUAAAGCAUCCGUAGCUCGUUUUGUAAGUUUUCGGUUAAAUCCAUACGCUUAACGUAUGGGCUGCCGGGAAUACUGCAUAACUAGGAAGUGGGAGAGGUAGACGGUACUCGGUAGGAAGGGGUAAAAUCCUUUGAUCUAUUGAUGACCACCUGUGGCGAAGGCGGUCUACCAGAACACGUUCGACGGUGAGGGAUGAAAGCUGGGGGAGCAAACCGGAUUAGAUACCCGGGUAGUCCCAGCUGUAAACUAUGCAAACUCAGUGAUGCAUUGGCUUGUGGCCAAUGCAGUGCUGCAGGGAAGCCGUUAAGUUUGCCGCCUGGGAAGUACGUACGCAAGUAUGAAACUUAAAGGAAUUGGCGGGGGAGCACCACAAGGGGUGAAGCCUGCGGU
This 843-nucleotide ribosomal RNA is filed under the name uncultured archaeon. RNAcentral's name for it is "bacterial SSU rRNA". It matches the Rfam family "Archaeal small subunit ribosomal RNA", at positions 52 to 901 of the family's 1478-position model. The record is from RNAcentral.